UGACGGUACCUGACUAAGAAGCCCCGGCUAACUACGUGCCAGCAGCCGCGGUAAUACGUAGGGGGCAAGCGUUAUCCGGAUUUACUGGGUGUAAAGGGAGCGUAGACGGUCUUGCAAGUCUGAUGUGAAAGGCAGGGGCUCAACUCCUGGACUGCAUUGGAAACUGUAAGUCUUGAGUGUCGGAGAGGUAAGCGGAAUUCCUAGUGUAGCGGUGAAAUGCGUAGAUAUUAGGAAGAACACCAGUGGCGAAGGCGAUCUACUGGACAGUAACUGACGCUGAGGCGCGAAAGCGUGGGGAGCAAACAGGAUUAGAUACCCUG
Molecule: ribosomal RNA, 320 nt
Filed under: uncultured bacterium
Lineage: Bacteria
Description: bacterial SSU rRNA
Rfam family: Bacterial small subunit ribosomal RNA
Source: RNAcentral